UACGGAGGGUGCAAGCGUUAUCCGGAUUCACUGGGUUUAAAGGGUGCGUAGGCGGGUUGUUAAGUCAGUGGUGAAAUCUCAGAGCUUAACUCUGAAACUGCCAUUGAUACUAAUGAUCUUGAAUAUUGUGGAGGUAAGCGGAAUAUGUCAUGUAGCGGUGAAAUGCUUAGAUAUGACAUAGAACACCCAUUGCGAAGGCAGCUUACUACGCAUAUAUUGACGCUGAUGCACGAAAGCGUGGGGAUCAAACAGG
Molecule: ribosomal RNA, 253 nt
Filed under: uncultured bacterium
Lineage: Bacteria
Description: partial 16S ribosomal RNA
Rfam family: Bacterial small subunit ribosomal RNA
Source: RNAcentral